GUACCAACCUGGCGCAAAGGAAACCACUAUCAAGAAGGCAGAUCCUCCAGAGUGAGGCCCUCCCAUUGUACUACGGUUGGGUUGACCCCUGCGAAUAUCCCUAAAGUGGAUAAUUUGGGCGUAUUAUUUUUGGUACAAAAUACUUUGGGAUGGA
Small nuclear RNA from Copidosoma floridanum, 154 nucleotides. RefSeq annotates it as U1 spliceosomal RNA. The record is from RefSeq and is a predicted model, not a curated record. NCBI's taxonomy places the organism in Eukaryota, Metazoa, Arthropoda, Insecta, Hymenoptera, Encyrtidae.